UUAGUUUGGGUCGAGGGGUGCCCUGUACCCGACCCAUUUAAGAAUACUGUUGUUGUUUUAGACCUAGACACACACACAAAAAAAAAAAAAAUCGGGUUUGGUCUAAGUCAUGUUAAAAUUGAAAGCAGCCGACCCAUUAAUUUAAUGAAUUAAUACUGGCCCCCUGACCCAAAUUUGACCCGUUUAUCAAACGGGUCACACUAGGGCUUGUAGGGUUGUCAAUGGGUAUCCAAAGCUAGGGGUACUCGAUGGAUCUAACCCACGAAUAUGACCUGAUUUUAACAAGAUUAAGGCCAAGAAAUUGGACCCAUUUAAAAUUCAGGUUAUGUUACCAUAAAACAAGACAGGUAUGAGAAGAACAUCCUAAACAAGUUGCUUGAGAUACGUGACAAUGCCAUAUGGCUUAGGAGAUGUUUUUUUUCCCUAAAUAUUAAAUGUGUUUGGUUCCUACAGUUCCAUACCUGGUUAAUUGUGUAGGAUCUCAUGAGUUUUCGGGUCCUUUUGGGUCCGGGUCUAGUUCUUGAAGACUCGGACCCGUAAUUGAUUAUAAAUUUGGAAUUUGAUAGUUGAUUUUGCCUCUUUCUAUUUCUCUCAAUCUUGUUAUAGGUCCAAGUAGUUGCAUAGGAUCGACUUAUGUCUCACUGAUUGGGUUUUGGUUUAAUAAUGUUGAAGAACAACCCAACAUACCUUGUCUAAAGAAGCAUAUUCCAAAUACUAAAAUAGAGCAACGUAAAGAGGUGCAAUGAUUUGGAAGCUUAUGUGGGAAUUGUUUUCACAGUCAGAAUUGUCUAAUCAACACUAUUCAUUUUCUUGAAAAUUUUCUCAACAGGUCCGCACCGUGAGAGCAGAGAAGCGCCUGAAUGAGAUAGUGUAUAGGUUGAACAAGACAAAAGUCGAAAGGAAGCCUGACUUGAAAGUUCACUGGGACUGAAAAGACCUCUUCUAAGUUCUCAACUUAUGGCUUCUGCAAGCUUCCUGGAAUAUGUCCUGUACUCUAUAUGGUGUUAUAAGCCACUCAUGUUAUGUGCUGUUUAUGCAGCAGAGCGGGAAGCAGUGAAUUACAAGGAUAUCGAUGAGGAAUUCCUACAAAGGGUUACGGAGAAUACCCGUCAAUAUCUGGUGAAGAUCUUAUCGAAAAGUUCUAAAUCUGAGGAACCUUGUAUUGCUUCAGCUGAGGUUUUGGCAAGAUCAGCGGCAUGGCUUGGAAGAGGCCUUUCUUGUGUUUGUGCUCAAAGAGGAGAGAAUGAUGCCCGUUCAUAGUUUGAACUAACCCCUUUGCAGUUUUAUUGCCAGAGAGAUUCUUUUGUGUUUGUUUCCAUGCACCUUAGAGUACUGAGCUUGUUUACCAGGAGCUUGAUCUUAUAUGUGAUGCUGCUUUCUGCUUCAUAUUACCCUGGAACAGAUGGCCUACUUCCUCAACAUCUUUUGUUUCCUUCAAUCAUGGAAGUGAUUAGAUUUGAAUUCAGUAGUAGUUGAAAAUAAAUUCUAUCCCUUUACGUUAUAACCUUGAAAUUUUUUAUGUUUCUAAUUCUUCUGUUUUGUCUUCCAAUUUUGCUUGUAGAGGCCACAACUGGUGAAGGAGAAUAUGCAGCUUUUUUCUGUGGAUCGGCAGCGUAGUCAAGCUCUUGAAGCACAUGCUGCAUCAUUUGCUUCACUAAAGGUUGCUGGAAAUGAAUACCCUUCCCUUCUUAUUGCCUUUGCCUCAAAGACCACCAAUGUAGGACAGAUUACAUCAAAGUUACAUGUGAUUGAACUUGGUGCUCAGCCAGGUUUGCUCCUUGUAUUGAUCGCAUC
Magnolia sinica is the source of this 1794-nucleotide long non-coding RNA. RefSeq lists it as uncharacterized. The transcript is spliced from 9 exons. The record is from RefSeq and is a predicted model, not a curated record. NCBI's taxonomy places the organism in Eukaryota, Viridiplantae, Streptophyta, Magnoliopsida, Magnoliales, Magnoliaceae.